UACGGAGGGUGCAAGCGUUAUCCGGAUUCACUGGGUUUAAAGGGUGCGUAGGUGGGCAGUUAAGUCAGUGGUGAAAUCUCUGGGCUCAACCCGGAAACUGCCAUUGAUACUAUCUGUCUUGAAUAUCGUGGAGGUAAGCGGAAUAUGUCAUGUAGCGGUGAAAUGCUUAGAUAUGACAUAGAACACCAAUUGCGAAGGCAGCUUACUACCCGAAUAUUGACACUGAGGCACGAAAGCGUGGGGAUCAAACAGG
This 253-nucleotide ribosomal RNA is filed under the name uncultured bacterium. RNAcentral describes it as "partial 16S ribosomal RNA". It matches the Rfam family "Bacterial small subunit ribosomal RNA", at positions 524 to 776 of the family's 1533-position model. The record is from RNAcentral.